AGUGAACGCUGGCGGUAGGCCUAACACAUGCAAGUCGAACGGCAGCACAGUAAGAGCUUGCUCUUACGGGUGGCGAGUGGCGGACGGGUGAGGAAUACAUCGGAAUCUACUUUUUCGUGGGGGAUGACGUAGGGAAACUUACGCUAAUACCGCAUACGACCUACGGGUGAAAGCAGGGGAUCUUCGGACCUUGCGCGAUUGAAUGAGCCGAUGUCGGAUUAGCUAGUUGGCGGGGUAAAGGCCCACCAAGGCGACGAUCCGUAGCUGGUCUGAGAGGAUGAUCAGCCACACUGGAGCUGAGACACGGUCCAGACUCCUACGGGAGGCAGCAGUGGGGAAUAUUGGACAAUGGGCGCAAGCCUGAUCCAGCCAUACCGCGUGGGUGAAGAAGGCCUUCGGGUUGUAAAGCCCUUUUGUUGGGAAAGAAAAGCAGCAGGUUAAUACCCCGCUGUUCUGACGGUACCCAAAGAAUAAGCACCGACUAACUUCGUG
This 492-nucleotide ribosomal RNA is filed under the name uncultured bacterium. RNAcentral's name for it is "partial 16S ribosomal RNA". It matches the Rfam family "Bacterial small subunit ribosomal RNA", at positions 29 to 507 of the family's 1533-position model. The record is from RNAcentral.